Molecule: long non-coding RNA, 1825 nt
Organism: Cyprinus carpio (common carp)
Lineage: Eukaryota; Metazoa; Chordata; Actinopteri; Cypriniformes; Cyprinidae
Source: Ensembl
AUGGUGAAGCGGUGCGCCCACGGCGUUUGUAAAUCGGACACUAGAUACCCCGAGAGAUUGUCUGGAGGAGUUGUGUUCUUUCCAUUCCCAAAGCCGAAAACACAACGUGAGCGGUGCCUACAAUGGAUAAAACAGUGUGGACGGCCCCAAUCCCAGUUAAAUGCGUCGAACAUUACGAAGCAUAAAUACGUCUGCUCAAAGCAUUUUAUGAACAGAAAACAUUCCCCUGAGUUCCCCAAUCCCGUAAAUGCUGUGCAAGGGCCUAACCCAGCUAAGGAGAAGCUUGGAGGCUGACGAAAGUCGCCCAAAAAAUGACGCAGAAUCUGUGUGCAGGAUGCCUCCUCCGGUUCCAUCUCCACUACUGAUGCAGGAGAGAGUCAACAACAUGCUGUUGAAAGUGGUGAGUGGAACGCAUUUUUCACAUUACUGCUGGCGUAAAUGUAUUUACUGUAUUGUUUUCCAUUUUCAGUUUAACUUUUGCCAAAAGUAACUCAGUAGUGUAACUCAGUAAAAAAAAUGAACAGUAAUAUGUAAUCCAAAUAUAAAUAAGUGAAAGUGAAAGAGAAAUGAGUGAAAUGAGUAAUAUAGAAGUGAAAUGAGUAAUAUAGAAUAUAUUACAAUGUUAAAGUAACUUGCUCAACACUGCGAACCAAACUAAAGAACAAAAUAAGAAUCAUUGGCACAUAAUAUAGUAGUUAAAGAAGAAUGCAUCAAGCUUGCACUUCAUUUGUUCCCAUUUUGCAACAUCAAAGUGUAUUCUCUCUAGGUGGUAGUCGUCUUCACAUUUAACAAAGAAAUCACACCAGGACAUACCUGAGAGACCAAGCUGCCCCAUUAUUUGAUAAUGAUGGGCAUAACACUCUUUUAAUUUAUAGCUGCCAUCAGCCUGCUUGCAAAGGUAGGGACACUCUGUGAAGCUAUUCUUGGAAGGACACUUUAUUUCUAAAAGCCCAUAGUUUGAGCUUUCACUCCCUCUCUCGAUCACCUUACGGUCAGGUGACGUGCCAAGGUGUGGGGCAUUGGGAUUUACAACAAAACCACAUGGAUACACUAGAUGACCUGUGAUCUUGGUGUAAUGUAUCGCUGCUAUAGGCUCUUGUUCUGUGCCUCUUUUCAUGGCCUUAGUUUGAACUACCUUAGUUUGAACUAUCACCUUGGUCAAAACACCGCUCUUCUGUUCCGAUCAAAACAUUAAACAGGUUCUCCCCACUCAGUGAAGCACCCACUGAGAAACCUGAUCAAAGUGCUCUAGUUAUUGGCGAUUCUAUUGUACGGAACGUGAAAAUAGAGACACCAGCCACCAUAGUCCAAUGUUUACCGGGAGUCAGAGCGCCUGACAUCUUAGCAAAUUUAAAAGUGCUGGCUAAUGCUAAACGUAAAUACAGUAAGAUUGUUAUUCACGCCAGUGCUAAUGAUGUUCGACUUCGCCAGUCGGAGAUCACUAAAAAUAACAUUAAAGAGGUGUGUGAACUUGCAAGCAUGACCUGACCUGUUGAAAAGAGAUGGUCUUCAUCCCUCCUGGGGUGGUGCCGCUCUUCUCUCUAGAAAUAUGGCACAUAGUCUUAGAGUUUGUACUUGACUAACUGGGGCCCAGUUCAGGAAGCAGACAGACUGGCUAAACCGACCAUCUGCUAGCCGCCUCACGUCACAGAAGUCAGUUAAUUCUCAGCACAUAGAGACUCUUUCACCUAGAUAUCACACUAUAGAUACUGUGUCUGUUCCCCGAACUAGAAAAUACAAAAAAACAUCCAAACCAAUUUAAGAGCAACAAUUUAAUUGAGGUUCAACAAAUAAAAUUAUUUUUUUUAUUAUUUUUGUAAAUAAU